Molecule: ribosomal RNA, 374 nt
Filed under: uncultured bacterium
Lineage: Bacteria
Description: bacterial SSU rRNA
Rfam family: Bacterial small subunit ribosomal RNA
Source: RNAcentral
UACGUAGGCAGCAAACGUUGUUCGGAAUUACUGGGCGUAAAGAGUGUGUAGGCGGUUGGGUAAGUUUGGUGUGAAAUCUCCCGGCUUAACUGGGAGGGUGCGCCGAAAACUGCCUGGCUUGAGUACUGGAGAGGAUAGCGGAAUUCCUGGUGUAGCGGUGAAAUGCGUAGAUAUCAGGAGGAACACCUGCGGUGUAGACGGCUGUCUGGACAGUAACUGACGCUGAGACACGAAAGCGUGGGGAGCAAACAGGAUUAGAUACCCUGGUAGUCCACGCCCUAAACGAUGCAUACUUGGUGUGGGUGAUUCAUUUUAUCCGUGCCGGAGCUAACGCGUUAAGUAUGCCGCCUGGGGAGUACGGUCGCAAGGCUGAA